This 468-nucleotide ribosomal RNA is filed under the name uncultured bacterium. RNAcentral's name for it is "partial 16S ribosomal RNA". It matches the Rfam family "Bacterial small subunit ribosomal RNA", at positions 28 to 507 of the family's 1533-position model. The record is from RNAcentral.
GACGAACGCUGGCGGCGUGCUUAACACAUGCAAGUCGAACGGAAAGGCCCUGCUUUUGUGGGGUGCUCGAGUGGCGAACGGGUGAGUAACACGUGAGUAACCUGCUCUUGAUUUUGGGAUAACUUCAGGAAACUGGGCUUAAUACCGUAUCGGAGCCCCUGCUCCAUGGUGGGGGUGGGAAAUUUGCGGCGGUAGGGGAUGGAUUCGCGGCUUACGAGCUUGCUGGUGGGGUAGUGGCUUGCCAAGGCUGUGAAGGGUAGCCGGCCUGAGAGGGUGACCGGCGACAUUGGGACUGAGAUAGGGCGCAGACGCGAACGGGGGGCAGCAGGGGGGAGUAUUGCACAGUGGGAGGGAGCCUGGUAAGGAAGCGCCGCGUGCGGGAUGACGGCCUUCGGGUUGUGAACCGCUGUCGCCUGUGACGAAGCGGGAGUGACGGUAAUGAGUGAAGAAGCACCGGCUAACUACGUG